RNAcentral lists this ribosomal RNA (250 nucleotides) under uncultured bacterium. Its description in RNAcentral is "partial small subunit ribosomal RNA". It matches the Rfam family "Bacterial small subunit ribosomal RNA", at positions 26 to 287 of the family's 1533-position model. The record is from RNAcentral.
AGGAUAAACGCUGGCGGCGUGCCUAAUCAAUGCGAGUCGAACGGGCCCUUCGGGGUCAGUGGCGUCCGGGUGAGUAACGCGUAGCCAACCUACCCAAUGGUGGGGGAUACCCGUCAGAAAUGAUGGUUAAUACCGCAUAGCUUGACAGCCCGGGAGGGGUGGCAAGAAAGCAGCAAUGCGCCAAUGGAGGGGGCUGCGUCUGAUUAGCUGGUCGGUGGGGUAACGGCCUACCGAGGCGACGAUCAGUAGC